Podarcis raffonei (Aeolian wall lizard) is the source of this 3727-nucleotide long non-coding RNA. RefSeq lists it as uncharacterized. The transcript is spliced from 2 exons. The record is from RefSeq and is a predicted model, not a curated record. NCBI's taxonomy places the organism in Eukaryota, Metazoa, Chordata, Lepidosauria, Squamata, Lacertidae.
UAGGUCCACAUACAUACAACCUUGUUUGCCUGCCUCCUGCUCCCUUGUGCUACUCUUGGCAUUUUUAGCCUGGUCAGAAACAGACAAAGGCACUGCUUGCUAUGCUGCGAGUGCCCAGGCAACCUGGCCUUGGCGAUGUCUAACUGGAGCCUUUUCUUUCUAACUGCGCCUCUCCUUUUUCCUUCAUCUUUGUUGCUGCAGACGCCUCCCACCCUCACCCCAAAGAGCAGCUGGAAACAAAACAUCCCUUGUGGAAUCUCAACCUCCCGCUUCUUUUCAGGAGGCUCCAGCAGGCAGGAUGGGAGCUGAGCCCCUGUUGAGCAAGGGUGACAUCAUGCAGCCUCCGCCAGGAGGGAGAUCAGAAGAGGAAUUUAAAAGGACUGGCAUGCUUCGGCACAGAGAGAUUUAACGUAGGGCGUGCCCAUGCAUCGUACCCAAGAAACCCCCCAAGUUGGGGUGGGUGAUUGUCAGUCUUGGGUUCUAUCAGUUUCACAUGUUCCCACUCUUACUUCUCCUCAUUUCCACUUUUUUUCUUUUAAAGAAAUUCCUCAGCAUUUUAGUGCAAUUCUCUUGCAAUUCGCACCUUUUUAUCUGCAGUUUUACCUAAUAUAUGUAUUAUUACUUUUUUGCAAAGCAGUCUCCCCUAAUAUAAUGCAUUUUAUAUUCUAUUUUCACUGAUCUAUGCAUUUUUUGUACACAUGACAUGGCUGGAGGACUACACUGCAAAAUUCUGAGAAGAACAGUUUCAAAGAAUAACACCAUGUCAGUUUGUGUAUUUCUUCCAGAAAGUACUUAGGUUGGUUCACUUUUAAGUGUGAACUGAAUCAAAAUUCUCCCUCAGGAGGGGUGUCUGAUUUUGGGGGAAUUGUAAGUUGUGCAGUUGCUGUGCAGUGAUGGCCUAUAUGAAGGAAGUAGUGGCAUAGUGACAGAAGGCUUGCACCUCAUCAGUUUUUUGUUUCGUUUUAGCAUUGGUAUGUGCUCAGGACAUUUUGCUGCCUGAGGCAGAGAUGGUACCCCCUCAUUUCUGGCUGGCCUGGCCUCUGAUUUCAACCACACCUUUCAUUUUAUUCUGUUGGCAACAUCUGUCACAGAGCAUCUGUCAUAUGGUGUAAGAGUGCAACUAUCAAAGAAACUGAUGCACAUCAUCGCUCCUGUGCAAAAAUAUGAGUAUGGAGCAAUAAAUGCAGCAAAAUGGUGUACAUACCAGUCUCACAAAUGCUGCUCCAAUUCUUAUUCUGGUUUCAAGUUACUGUUGUGCUCUUGAUCAUAAAGACAAAGGAAGAUUUUUAACAAAGGCAUGGGUGAGUCCAUGCUAGGCUUUUCUGCUGCUAGAGUUCCAGGUUUCUAUUCCGUGUAAUUCAGUGGAAUAGUAGCUGCUUUGCAUGCAGGAGGGUCCAGGUUCACUCCCUGGCACCCCCAAGAUAGGGCUGAGAAUCUCCCCUCUCUGAAACCCUGAAGGGCCACUGUCAUUCAGUGUAGACAAGACUGAGCUAGAUGAACUAAUGCUCAAUUUAAGGAGGCUUCCGGUUUUCCUAUAUACGCAUCUCCUCUCAACAUCCCAGAUGAUGCAGGUCCAAAAACACUGUAAUGAUUCCAUAAUUUUGCCCAGUGGAAUUGAUUGGCAGUAGGUUUGAGACAGAAAAAAAAAUGCUUCCUCACCUAAUGCCUGAUGAGCUUCUGGGAUUUCCGGGUGUCAUGAGAGCUACUAGAUUAAAUGGCAUUAAAAUGAGGUCAAACAAAGGCAUGAAGUACAUCUGUCCUGUAUGAGAGCUAAGUGCCACCUCCAUGAAUUCCAGAUACUGGAGAACAAGGCAAAGCUGCUGCCUUUGAAAACAUAAGAAAAGCCUUAAUGGAUGAGACCAAUGUUCUCACAGUGACCAAUCAGAUACCUAUGGGAAGCCUGCAAGCAGGAGCACUUGGGCACAAGAGCACUCUCACCUUCUGUGAAUGCAUCUCGGAUGCAUCUGGCUGGCCAAAGCUGGAAAAAGCAUGCUGGGCAGCUAAGCAGACCCAAUUUAGCAGGGCACGUCUUACCAUAUAUUCUUAUUGCCCGUGAUGUCAGAAUCCAAUGCUGCCCAGUGCAGUGUGUGAAGGAGACUGCCAUCACAGCUGACAUCUCUUUGGAACGAGGCUCUGCCUCAACAAUCACAGUGUGUAUUUGUGAUGUAUCCUUCCAAGCCCAUGCCAAGUGCUGGCUUGUCUCCUUCAUACACUGGCUGGCAGAGGUUCUGAAGGAUUUGUACAAUGGCAGAGAACAGCCCAAACAUUCAUAGCCUGGGGCCCAACCUGAAGCUUUUGCGAGGCUCUGGGGUAUAAAUUCGCUAGUGAUUUUGGCAAACAGUGCUAUAGCAUCUAUUUUUUCUUUUCCUAUCAAAGAGGUCUGUCUUACCAUUUUUAUUUUCUACCUAUGUUAACCAGGUGAAAUGCCAAAUGAAUUUAUGCAUACACUGUGCUUUUUCAGCUAGUCAUGAUGUCUAUCUUGUGUCGGAAGCUGAGCAGUGGGAAUCAUUCCAUUUGUAAUUUAAGUGUUAAUCGUGUUAGUGUUAAAGUCAGCUAACAAAGAGAGGGAAGGACUGCUUAGCAAUGAAGCUGAUUAGCAUGAUAUUCACUGAGGCAGCACAUAUCCUGAUUGGCUGUCUAGUUCUGAUGGAGUUUUAUCUCUGAAUGUUUGGUUAAACAUCCUUUUGCUAUGUACAAGGCCUGAACUAAGAAAGACAAAAUCUCUCUUUUUAUUUCUCCUCAAAUUAUAGGCUAGGUUUUAUUCUCUCCCCCACUUCAGAUUCAUUAGUAAAGUGACAUUGGACUUUAUUUAAGGGACUUUCCUAACAAAUGUAACAUCCAGGAUCAGAGGCAGAACACCUCUGAAUACCAGCAAAUGGAAAGGGUCAUUGCCCUCGUCUCCUGCUUGUUAGCUUCUCAGGAGCAUCUAGUCACCCAAUGUGAGAAGCAAGUUGUUGGAGAAGCAAGGGUAUGUUGUGCAGUGGUGAUAAGUGGAUGUCAUGACCCGGGACCCAGGUGGAUGUCAUGGCCCAGGACACACACCUAGGUUCAUACCCUCUGUCACAGAAUAUGUGACCUCAGCCUGCUAAGUGCUGAGUCUGCAUAAACAUGUUACCGCAGCCACAACCACAAGGUAUCUGUGCCAUUGCCCUGUAUUGGUAAUGUGUUGGAAAUAUAAUAAUCUCUCUCCUGCCUGUUUAUUUUGUAAGGAAUUCAGUGCUGCCUUGAAGCUCUAACUGUUUGCUACUUCUCCCUGCACCCCUUACCUGUGAAUAAGGUGCAUUUCUAUAUUUUGCGGGCAUAGCACCCAUUGUGGGCCUCUCUUAUCAGCUUCCAAAGCAGAGAAGAGCAAGCUAACCUUGAACAGAAGAAAUACUGGGAGAUCUUCAAAGAAGAGAAACAGUAAAUUCUCCUGACCCAGACAAGUCUUCAUGCAGCAGAUAGUAGAAAAGCAACAUUUUGUAUGAACUUUGCUUAAAGAUACCUGUUGUCAUGGUAAUUUUGGGCAGGCUGUUCUGACCAAUGAAAUUUGUUUUAGGGGUCCACAAGCUAUCCAUGCAUUCUGUUAUCCAAUCAUAUUACUGAAAAGGAUCGCACACAAGGUGAUCACGCAUGUAAAUGUUAUGAAAGUGUCUUGAAUUUUGUAUUUGGGGUCCAAAAUUUGGAGAAAUCCUCUGGAUCAUUUAUUAUUGUUGCAGCCUGCAAUAAAUAUGAUCUCCUUCCAUGA